UCCCUUUCCUGGUACUAGUAAUUUACCUUUCCCCUCCCCUGAUGCCUGAUCCCAUCCCUCGCCCGGCCGCCCAGUUCACACUCCUUCACCUCGAGCGCGACUCGCCUCAGCGCUCAGCUCAGAUCGCCCCACUAAUCCUCGGCGAAGGAGUCUUGGAAUACCAACAAUGGCAGCAACUUACCCUAUGCCUGAUCCACCGGUGCUGAACAACUAUGCUAUUACUCAAAGACUCGACAACUCUGCUACCGAGACAGCCGGCAGAGACAAGUCCAUAGGCUACCUGGACAUCUUCGUCCACCAGGCGCGCGACAUCCACAAUGUUUGCAUCUACCAGAAGCAGGACGUGUAUGCAAAACUGAGCCUCACAAGCGACCCACAGGUGUCGUGCUCGACCAAGGUGAUCAAUGGGGGUGGCCAGAACCCGGUGUUCGACGAGGGUCUACGGCUAGACGUGCGCAGCGUGGAGGCGUCGCUGAGGUGCGAGGUGUGGAUGCUGAGCAGGGUGAAGAACUACCUGGAGGACCAGCUUCUCGGCUUCACCCUCGUUCCUCUGUCAGACAUCCUUCUGGCCGAUGGAAAUCUGGCCCAGGAGUUCUCCAUGUCGUCCUCCGACCUGCUCCACUCGCCGGCAGGGUUUGUGCACCUGUCCCUGUCUUACGUCGGUAGCUCUCCGGAUGUCAUCGAGAUCUCAUCGCUCAAUAAGUCGGCGUCGGCGGUCACCGACUGUGGAAAUGGCAGCUUGGAUCCUUGUGAGAUCGAAAAGAUGGAGUUCCCAGACUUGAACAUGGUGAACGAGAAUGAAAUGAUGGUCUCCAAGUAUUUCGAGAUGGACUGUGGGAGUGCAGUGAAGGCUGAGACUGCAAGUUACCACAGCUUGAUGCAGAUGAGCCUGGUCCUGAGGUCUCCAAGAUCACUCCCAAGGAGUAUCCUGACGAAAGCCCUGUGAGCUGUGUCUCUACCACAGGCUCCUCCCCGGAGCUCUCCCCCAUGACGCAAUCGGUCUCUGAGCCGUCCGAGACCGCCGUCGCGGCGGCAUCCUCCACCGGAAGCCAGAGGGAGAAGAGCCAGGGUGUUACUACGGAUGGCGAGGUCGAUUCUUCUGAGGCGCCAUCCAAGGAUGAGGUUGCCCAGCCUGCAGUGAUCAGCGUGAACCUCCAGCCCAGGGAAUCAGUUGUCCAGCAGGACAUAGUUGACAUGUACAUGAAGAGCAUGCAGCAGUUCACUGACUCCCUUGCGAAGAUGAAGCUCCCGCUGGAUGUCGAGAACAGUAGUCCCUCGGCUGAUAACGUCGACUCGAGUACAACAGAGAAGCCAUCGCCAUCGCCGUCGUCGAAGGGUCCUAGGGUCUUCUAUGGAAGCAGGGCCUUCUUCUAAGUUGCUGCUGCUGCUAGCUAGGCUGGCUCAUACACACUCUGUUUGCCUCACUAAGGAGGCUAGACUCUCACUGUAAACUUGUAUUGCUAAUAGUGUUAUGCCUAGUUAAAAAAGAUGGAUAUUUCAUAAUAAUUCCAGAGCUGUAGAUUCAGCCUGUGUAACAUAGUGUACUACUGCAUUUAAAUUACUUCAUGAUCUGCU
This 1575-nucleotide ribosomal RNA is filed under the name Triticum aestivum (bread wheat). Its description in RNAcentral is "partial small subunit ribosomal RNA". The record is from RNAcentral. Lineage: Eukaryota; Viridiplantae; Streptophyta; Magnoliopsida; Poales; Poaceae.